This 513-nucleotide ribosomal RNA is filed under the name uncultured bacterium. Its description in RNAcentral is "bacterial SSU rRNA". It matches the Rfam family "Bacterial small subunit ribosomal RNA", at positions 747 to 1267 of the family's 1533-position model. The record is from RNAcentral.
UAAGACGCGAAAGCUAGGGGAGAGAACGGGAUUAGAAACCCCGGUAUUCCCUAGCCGUAAACGAUUGUCAACUAGGUGUAGGGGGUAUCCCAACCCCCCUGUGCUGUAGCAAACGCAUUAAGUUGACCGCCUGGGGACUACGGCCGCAAGGCUAAAACUCAAAGGAAUUGACGGGGACCCGCACAAGCAGCGGAGCGUGUGGUUUAAUUCGAGGCUACGCGAAGAACCUUACCAGGGCUUGACAUGGCGGUGGUAGGAAAGUGAAAGCUGACCGACCCUUCGGGGAGCCGUCCACAGGUGCUGCAUGGCUGUCGUCAGCUCGUGCCGUGAGGUGUUAGGUUAAGUCCUGUAACGAGCGCAACCCUCGUCGCUAGUUAUACGUGUCUAGCGAGACUGCCGGUGAUAAGCCGGAGGAAGGUGGGGAUGACGUCCAAGUCAGCAUGGCCUUUAUAUCCUGGGCUACACACACGCUACAAUGGCCGGUACAAUGGGUCGCGAAGCCGUGAGGCGAAG